Molecule: long non-coding RNA, 2790 nt
Organism: Nematostella vectensis (starlet sea anemone)
Lineage: Eukaryota; Metazoa; Cnidaria; Anthozoa; Actiniaria; Edwardsiidae
Exons: 6
Source: RefSeq, a predicted model, not a curated record
ACAGCUGCUGUCGGGGACAAUGCCACUGUGUCAAAAUAAGUUCAAAUGUUAUUUUCUUCUUCCCUUAUAGCACAAAUUUCUUUUAAUUUAAGUAUAUCAAAGAUUAUGAAACAGUGUUCUUCAAUCGCAGCAUAAUUCAAUUUUCUCUCCUCUUUUAGCACUGUGCAAGCCUCUGUUUCCACGAAAGUACGUACAAGAAGUGGCAGGAGGAGGUCCUGAAGGCGUACACUCACUUCUCGUUCUUGCUGAACAAGGACGACAGUGAGCUGGACGAGCAGGAUUGGUUCAGAGUCGGGAUAGCACUCAAGGGACUGGAUCUAAUGUUUAAGCGAAGGACGGGUAGAGACUUGUCAAUGACCCACCCAGUCAUUUUUGAAGAGUUGAGUUGAAUGAGGGUGAAGGCAUCAAGCGCUGCACCCAAGCAGCCGCUGCAGCUGAUUACUCCACCAACGGACGCUCUUCAUCGUCUCCAUUGCCGGCAGGCAAAUGCCGCCAUGGCAAUACAGUGCCUUGAGAUCCAGAUAAGUGACUUGACACUACAAAACCGUAAAUCAAUUUAUCUUUAUUUAACUGCGUUGUGUUUCUGUGUCUAGACUGAUAUCGUCAUCCCCACUGUGGCUUCGAAGGAAGCUGCCUGCCAGGAAGGACGCACGAAACUUGCUUGAAAAAGCAUGCACGAGCAAGAAAUAGAUUGCAGGACUUUGAAUUAAAACUGUUGUCUUUCUGUGUUUAGAUUGACCCCUUGCCGACUGGCCUUGACAACCCGAGCGUAGAUGCAAUUUGCCAGGUAGUAUGCACGAAACUGUGGCUUCGGAGGAAGCCGCCUGCCAGGAAGGACGCACGAAACUUGCUCGAAAAAGCAUGCACGAGCAAGAAAUAGAUUGCAGGACUUUGAAUUAAAAUUGUUGUCUUUCUGUGUUUAGACUGACCCCUUCCAGACCGGCCUUGACAACCCAAGCGUAGAUGCAACUUGCCAGACUGAUCCCGUCCCAAUUCAGUACCACCCAUCGAGGGAGAGACCAGCCAGUGUGAUACCCCUGGCGCCCUUGAGGUGGACGAGGACAUAAAGGAAGUGGAGGACGAGGAAAAGGUACAAAUUUAAAUGCCAUAGUGCUGAUGGCCUCACGUGUGCCAGGCUAAUAUAGUGCGGUUGAUUAAUCUACACCCUAUGUUUCUCUUGUCAUGGCAGCCUAAGAAAUCCAGCGCUCCACGAAGCGCCCACCUAACUUCAUUGCUCCACCUCUGAGUUUAUCAUGUUAUUUGUCUUUGCCCAGUGUGAUACCCCUGGCGCACUUGAGCUUAAUGUGAAAGAGGAAAUGAAGGAAGAAGAAGACGAGGAAAAGUGUGAUACCCCUGGCGCACUUGAGCUUAAUGUGAAAGAGGAAAUGAAGGAAGAAGAAGACGAGGAAAAGUCAAUCGAUGCUGACAACCAGCAGCUGGAACUGCUCACACUCGCCGAGUUUGCGCUAUUUCUCCAGCGCCAACAUGGCGGAGAACUUAAGCAAGCCAUGGCCAGAGAUAGCCGCUAAGGUUCAAUCUAUCACAAACGCCAAGGCGCCAUCCGGCAGCUACCUCCUGGACGCCUUUGUGGAUAUAAAUAGGGUCUGGGGCCGCUUUUUCCUUCCAAGACGAGAAGGGCCCCGACCAUCUCAAGGCCACAACCCUGCAGGGAUACUGCGAUGCCCUACAGCAAUUCCUGGGGUACAUCCUUAAAAGCUCCGAGGCGUGCCCUUCAAGGGCUGAGCGGCUGGCUCCAAGCGCCUCCAGGCCGUCCUCCCUGCCUGGAAGACAUGCCUUAGGAAGUAUAAAAAAAUGGGAGCGUGGGGUGCAUCACCUGGAAGAUUGCGAAAACGUCCUGGACAUGUCACAGGUCAAGGAAUUCCUCAAUUCUGUGCCUGCCAAGAAGUGUACCGCCCGAAUAGACCUGGCCUUGCAGCAGUACGAAAAAGGGCUGCGCAAAAGCCCCGUCACUACGAAGGAGGUCGUCAACUGUAGAAAUUAUCUUAUCAUCUGCCUGGUGUUCAUGCCUUUCUUUUUAUAAAUUAAUCCCCUGCUCACCACAUACAGUACUUUUAUUAUUUUUCAUUAUUAAUAGUGUUACAAUGUCUACAAAAAAACAAUUACAUAAAAAAUAAAAAUAAAAUUUAGUGUAGCUACAUAGUGAAGUUACGGAAUUAAUUUAAUUAAUGCAUUAAAAAAGUAUUAUGUUAAUAACGGAAUAAGCUUUUCCCAUUUGUUUAAAUGAACUAUUGUGGAAUUCCUAUCUCUUGCAAUAAUAUAUUUAUUAUUUAUUAUUUUUGUUUGGAUCAAUUUACUCUUAAAAUUUGAGAAAUUAGGAAUUUGCGACUUGAGCUUACACAAAAAGAUGAAAUGUUUUGCCGCCAAGAUAACAUACAGUACGCAUGUAGAUGCAAUCUGACUACUGAUAAGCUCCCUCUCCCUAACUUUUUUUCUGGUAUUUGCCUUAGUUAUCCUCUAGCCUGCGAAAAAAAAACAUUUUGCGCUUGCCAAAAGUGACUCCCACGUCAAAUCAUACUGUUGAAGUAUUUGACCCCAUUCUUGUACCAAAAAAAAAAAAAAAACAUGGGCUGGUUAUUUGGGUAACUCUUUUUUCUGUUAUUUUCUUUAGUGUCAAGUGAUUAAUCAAUACGAUAUUCUAUCGUUGGGAUGGUAGAAUUAUAGCCAUUUUGUUUGAGUACAAAACCUGUGCCACAUCGUGACCAAAAGAACUUCUUUUGUAAAAAUGACUCUUGUCAAAUAGACGCUUCAAAAUAAACCAUUACCAAAGAA